GAAAAUGGAAUUGCACCCAUUGGAAGAGGUUGUGGGAGAUAGUGGAGUGUGAUGUCAUCCUAGGUCAUGGUGGGCCAUUUUUGUUGAAUAAAAGAAAGAGAAAAGAAAAGAAAAAGCCCCUCUUCUUCUCUCUCCUCCCUCUCUUCUUCCUCUCUCUCCCGUCGCCUCUCUUCUCCAUCUUCUUCUCCUUGCUUCUUCGGAUCCAGCAACCGAAGAAGGCUCGAUCGGAAGCCAGCAACCGCCACCAGCCGGAGCCUCGCCGCUUGUCCGUCACCACCGCCACCGUGCCGUCCGCUCGUCUCGCCCGCUCGCCCGACCGGCCGAAGACCAGCGAAGGUUGCAGCACCGUCGGAGGAGCUGCUCGCCGCCCACGCUCUACUCGCCGUCGCCGGAGUCGCCGACCUCGCCCCGCGUCGUCUCGUCGCCGAGCUGCCGUCCUUGCGCGCCGCUGCUGGCCGCGCUUCUUGGCGACCUUCUUGCUAGCUCGUCGUCCCGAGCUGCUGUUCAGCUCGCGCAGGAGCUGCCGGAGCUCCCUCCGGCCACCGUGAGGCCUCGCUUGGCCGCCGCCUCACCCGUCCGCGCCGCCCCAAGCUGCCGCCAGUCCUCCUCCGCCCUUUCCGACCCGAACCGGCGCCGGAUCUGCUCUCUCUCGGCCCCGAUCAGCAACCCAGAAAAUGGGUAUGGCAGCCCACGUUUGGCCCGUUUUGGCUGCCUUCCCGAGCCCGGAUGCUCGGCCCGCUUUGAGGAAAGUUGUUCUCCUCGGCGUCCUCGUCGUUUUGGUCCGCUCGGUUCACUAAUCCGGUGAGUUUAACUCACUAAACCUCGCUUAGAGGGUUAAUUAUGCUUUAGGUGUGAUUAGCUUAAGUUAAUUAAGCUUAGGUGGUUAGUUUAGUUUAUUUAAUUGACUUAGAUUAAGAGGUUUGUUUAAUUUAAAGCAUGUUUAAUUAAAUGCUAAGAGAGUUCAUUUAAUAAUAAACAUUGAUGUGACAUAAUAGGUUUUAUUUUUGAUUUAUUUAAAUGUUUCGAAAUUCUGGAAUUUAUAAUAUAAUAUUAUUUUAUAAUCCGAAAUUAUUAAAAUAUUAUUUUUUUUUAAAAAAAAAACGAAAAAACAUUAUUUUUUACCCCGGUUGCUCAGAAUUUCGUGCUGAUCGCUGCUGUGUAUUCGGAUUUUGAAAUUGAUGGUUGGAUAUUAUAAAUUGAGUGUGGAUUGCGAAAAAUAUGGUUAUUAUUAUUUAAUUAAUUUUCGGAAUAAAAUUUAUUAUUUAUUAAAAUUCGAAAAUUUCGUCGGGACCCUAAACUCUCAGAAUUUCGUGCCGAUCGCUGCUGUGUAUUUAGAAUUUGAAUUUGAUGAUUGAUUGUGGCAAAUUGAGUGUUGAUUGUGAUAAAUAUGGAUUUUAUUCAUAAAAUCCCAAGUGUCGAGUUCGGCAUUGAAAUUGGAUUGUUAAUGGCUAAUAUCGUAAUUGGAUUAUGUGAGUGAAAUGUAAAGUUUCCAAGGAUUGGUAUCGAAUUGUCAUGUGCUAGUUGUAAGGCUCGGGUCGCAGUAGUGGCUAAGCCGACUGGAUCCUUAUUAUGCUAGAAAUGCUGUCGAUAAAAUGACGUGGCUUGGGUCGCAGUAGUGGCGGGACCGACUGGACCUUUAUUCUUCUAGAAAUGCUGUCGAUAGAAUGACGUGGCUUUGGUCGCAGUAGUGGCGGGACCGACUGGACCUUUAUUGUUCUAGAGAUGCUGUCAAUAGAAUGACGUGGCUUGGGUCGCAGUAGUGGCGGGACCGACUGGACCUUUAUUCUUCUAGAAAUGCCGUCGAUAAAAUGACGUGGCUUGGUCGCAGUAGUGGCGGGACCGACUGGACCUUUAUUCUUCUAGAAAUGCUGUCGAUAGAAUGACGUGGCUUGGUCGCAGUAGUGGCGAGACCGAUUGGACCUUCAUUCUUCUAGAAAUGCCGUCGAUAGAAUGACGUGGCUUUGUCGCAGUAGUGGCGAGAUCGACUUGACCUUUAUUCUUCUCGAAAUGUCGUAAUGUUAAUAAAUAGAUAGCCGACCUGUGAGUAGGCUAUGCCCUUGUGUGGCGGUGAAUAAUAAUUAAAAUGCGUGCUAAGUGCGAUCGUGAUUUAUAUGAAAGUGAUGGCGUUCCAAUUGUUUGAAUUAUUAUUACUACCUGAGAUUAUGUGAUACAAAUUGUGCUAACCUGCAGGAAGGAAUUGAGGCGAGGUAAGUUCUCUGUGUAAUGUGGCUAGGCCACCCUUGGGCGUAUUUUCUUUCUAAUAGGGAUUUAGGGGGUUGAACUUGCUGAGACGUUGUCUCAAUGGUUAUUGAAUAACCAUUUCAGGUCCCUGGUGGACGGAGCAGCCAGAUAGCUUUGGUUGGCCUUGAGGAGUUGGAGAGGUGAAGUCAUAAGGAUUGGAGAUCAUGUCCGACUUGUAGGUCGUAGGACAAUUCAUUUUUAAGGGCCGGUCUUUUGUAGAUUUUUGGCCAUAGACCUCUAUUUGUAAUUCUGUUGAAUUAUGAAAGUGUUAUGUUGUGGUUUUGCUUCCUGCUUUUCUAUCCUGUAUUUAAUCGUCAGGGGUUUUAUAAUACGUUCCGCUUGCGCA
Molecule: long non-coding RNA, 2587 nt
Filed under: Eucalyptus grandis
Lineage: Eukaryota; Viridiplantae; Streptophyta; Magnoliopsida; Myrtales; Myrtaceae
Description: long non-coding RNA (EGRA_LNC007229)
Source: RNAcentral